GACGAACGCUGGCGGCGUGCCUAAUACAUGCAAGUAGAACGCACAGUUUAUACCGUAGCUUGCUACACCAUAAACUGUGAGUUGCGAACGGGUGAGUAACGCGUAGGUAACCUGCCUGGUAGCGGGGGAUAACUAUUGGAAACGAUAGCUAAUACCGCAUAAUAUUGAUUAUUGCAUGAUAAUUGAUUGAAAGAUGCUAUUGCAUCACUACCAGAUGGACCUGCGUUGUAUUAGCUAGUAGGUGAGGUAACGGCUCACCUAGGCGACGAUACAUAGCCGACCUGAGAAGGUGAUCGGCCACACUGGGACUGAGACACGGCCCAGGCUCCUACGGGAGGCAGCAGUAGGGAAUCUUCGGCAAUGGACGAAAGUCUGACCGAGCAACGCCGCGUGAGUGAAGAAGGUUUUCGGAUCGUAAAGCUCUGUUGUAAGAGAAGAACGGGUGUGAGAGUGGAAAGUUCACACUGUGACGGUAUCUUACCAGAAAGGGACGGCUAACUACGUG
RNAcentral lists this ribosomal RNA (505 nucleotides) under uncultured bacterium. Its description in RNAcentral is "partial 16S ribosomal RNA". It matches the Rfam family "Bacterial small subunit ribosomal RNA", at positions 28 to 507 of the family's 1533-position model. The record is from RNAcentral.